Molecule: ribosomal RNA, 301 nt
Filed under: uncultured bacterium
Lineage: Bacteria
Description: partial 16S ribosomal RNA
Rfam family: Bacterial small subunit ribosomal RNA
Source: RNAcentral
CAGCCGCCGCGGGAAUACGGAGGGAGCUAGCGUUGUUCGGAAUUACUGGGCGUAAAGCGCGCGUAGGCGGUUACUCAAGUCAGAGGUGAAAGCCCGGGGCUCAACCCCGGAACUGCCUUUGAAACUAGGUGACUAGAAUCUUGGAGAGGUCAGUGGAAUUCCGAGUGUAGAGGUGAAAUUCGUAGAUAUUCGGAAGAACACCAGUGGCGAAGGCGACUGACUGGACAAGUAUUGACGCUGAGGUGCGAAAGCGUGGGGAGCAAACAGGAUUAGAUACCCCUGUAGUUCCUGUCUCUUAUAC